This is a long non-coding RNA of Oncorhynchus kisutch (coho salmon), 2952 nucleotides long. RefSeq lists it as uncharacterized. The transcript has 3 exons. Lineage: Eukaryota; Metazoa; Chordata; Actinopteri; Salmoniformes; Salmonidae. The record is from RefSeq and is a predicted model, not a curated record.
GAAAGCAGGGGGAUAUUUCUCCUCUCACCCUGUUAUCUCUACAGCCACUGCCCGCUGUAAGAAUCCAUCUCUGACUGGCUUGUGGUGUCAUCUGCGGAGGAGAAGACAGACAUGAUGAGCUGCAGAACAGGCCUGACUUGAGACGACCCCAGGCUUCCUCAGAGCAGGGUCCAGCUCUCUAGUCUGCACACAGAUACAGCCUGAGGAGAAGUCCACACUGCCAGUAUGGUUCAUCUGCCCACUAGCUCUGUCUGAGAGAGGGGGGAGAGAAAAAGAUGGUGGAUUCAGCAAAAGAGAGCAACAUAUAAAAUAUUAUGGGAGAAAUAGAGUGAAAGACCAAGACAGAGAGAUGGGGGAAGAGGAGACAAGGGAGCGUAAGAAAGAAAAAAGGACUGGCUUGCCUGAAGCUGAGUGAGCUUAUUAUAAUGUAAAUGUAAUCUGAAGUGUGUGUGUUUCUCUCCAAACCUGGGGCUUGUUGGAUCUGUCUCUCCACGGCUGCACAGAACCUCUCUGCCUCUGCCUCAUCUGCAAAGUUCAGGCCCGCCUGGCAGUCCUAAACAAACACACACAGCCAGUGUGGGAGGUCAUCAAGGACCAGAACAAUAACCUUUUCAGAGCUACGCUAUUAGCCAAAGCCUUUUUAGAGCCAGUGCUAUUAUGAGCAUGUUACAGAACCAACCAACCAAUGAACUCACAUAACCCUGUUGUAGGCCUAACCCUAACCCUAGCCCCACACCCUGGCUCAACCCUAACCCUAGCCAUUAACCUAACCCUAACCCCAACCCUAGCAUAACCCUAACCCUAGUCUCAACACUAACCCUAUCACUAGCUUAAUAUCCACACACUGGCUCAACCGUAGCCUCAGCCCUAACCCUAGCUUUGUGUCCAUACCAGGCUCAACCCUAACCCUAAACAUUAACCUAACCCCAAACCUAGGAUAACCCUAACCCUAGCAUAACCAUAACCCUCAACCCUAACCCUAUCACUAGCUUAAUAUCCACACACCGGCUCAACCCUAGCUUCAUGUCUACCCCAGGCUCAGCCCUAACCCUAAACAUUACCCUAACCCUAGCUUCAUGUCCACAUCCUGUUUCAACUCUAAUCCUCAGCCACCACAACCCUAACCCAUUUAAUAGCAGAAUAUUAAUUAAUUUAAUAUGCCCUUAAAAGCUGUUCCAUGAGCAGAUUUGUUGCUUUGGUCAUCAGGAUUGAAACAUAAUUAUAGAGUUCUGUUUGAUAAGGGAAUAACUUAACUCUUAAGAUGUGAUUUUAGGGCAUGUCACUUACAUUUGCAGGGAAGGUGUGGAAGUAGGGGUGGGGUGCAGAGUAUCGAAAAGGAACAUACAGCUCCUGUUCCCACAGCAACUUAGAUCUCUGGUAGGUUAAAGGAGAAAGAGAGUAGAUUAGAUAAUUAAGUGUACAUAAAGUUGAUUGGAGGUACACAAGACACACUCCCCACCUCUCAUCAUGAGCCGCCGGGCUGUUACCAAGAACCACAUACCGGAUUUUUAACAGGGCCGUUAGCAAAUGAGUUUUCAUAGUAUUUUCUGCAGCUACCUAGCUCAAAUUCUAGAUGUCGGAUUAAUACGAGACCAUAGCAUCCAUAAAGUGACCAUUAGACUUUUAAAAAAUUGUAUUGACUAAAUUUGUAGGUGCAUUUAUCUCACAAGUACAUUUCCGUCCAUUAAGAAACAACAUUGUGCUACCUUUCUGUAGCAUUUCUGACAAUGCUAACCAUUUUUUUUUAGCCAAAGCUCAAAGUUUUAACACUGUGUCGGUUGCUUGGCAACAACACAGUUGCUUGCAUCAGGCUGCCAGUCAUAAUAAUUAUAUAUGCAAACACAUCUAGGCUACUGUAGAUAGCUAGCUAUAUGGUGGUAUUCAAGCUGAGGUCAAUCAAUAAAUACAAGCAGAUAUUUUGAUUAGCUACGUAGCUAUCUAGCUAACGUUACCUAGCUAGCUUGUACAAAGUCCAGCAGCUAGCCUCUGUAGCUAGCUAACACCAGUCAGCUGAAAGCUAGCGAAGCAAACAGGCAAGUAAAAGACGCUUGCCAAUGAAUGUGGUUUUAUUUUGAUUAGUUAUGUAGCUAUACCAGUCAGAUUAGAACAUUGGCAUGCUCGCUAACCAACAAGUGAGGAAAGCUACUUAGCUAUAUUGUUUUUCAAGUAAGGUUUUCAUAUAAUGUUGAAGUUAUAUCAUGUGCAAACUGCUUAGCUAGACACUUGUGUGUAAUUGUAGAACAAACAAAUAUGCACAAAUAAGCUAGCAAACGUCCUUGGCUGCUAUGAUAACGUAAGACUGUAAUGUUAGCUAACGUGUAUAGCCAGUUCAUGCGCCACAAUAUCAUACUUUCUUACACAAAACAUAGCUAGGUAAGGUUAGUUACGUUCAGUUUAAAACCACCAAACUUUGAGAAACUGCCUUGCUAUUCACAUUAAUUUGCAUUGCACAGACCAAGUUACAGUAAGGAUCGUACCCUUUUUUCAAUUUUCGCCUAAAAUGACAUACCCAAAUCUAACUGCCUGUAGCUCAGGUCCUGAAGCAAGGAUAUGCAUAUUCUUGAUACAAUUUGAAAGGAAACACUUUGAAGUUUGUGGAAAUGUGAAUGAAUGUAGGAGAAUAUAACACAUGACAUCUGGUAAAAGAUAAUACAAAGAAAAAUCAUUCAUUUUCUAUUUCUAUAAUUUUUUCAGAAUCUUUGAAAUGCAAGAGAAAGGCAAUACUUUCAGAAUGGAGUCUAGGUGUAUUUAGAUUUUUGCCACCAAAUGGCAGCAGUGUGUGUGCAAUGUUUCAGACUGAUCCAGUGAAGAAUUACAUUACUGCACAAUAUUUUGUAUCUAGUCUGCCAGGAGUUUGCCCAAAUGUGCCGAAUUGGUCAAUUGAUACAUUUUCAAGUACAUAACAAUAGAGAACAUACAAAAAUGCUAUGGUAAUAAAAAAAUGUAAGUUUA